UUUCUUUUUAGGGAUAAGAGCAAUAAAUGCAGCAUUGCAGGAUUUGACCAUAUGAAAGCUAUGAUAGAAGUGAUUGAGAGCCUCCAUGAGAUCUGUCAAGACUUCUGAUUCCCCAAGAGGUGAUUCUAGAACAACACAUUCAUCUGCAGAUAAUGAGGGUAACCCCUUGAACUCUGCUGUUGAUCUCCAGGGUUCCCUCUCUUUGUAGAAAACCUGAUAAUAAUCCAGUAUUUCCUGUUUGAUCUGCUCCUUAUUUUCAACUAGAUUUUUUCCCACUUUGACCCUAUCAAUGCAAUUAUUCCUCCUUUGAGAAUUAGCAAUUUUUUUAGAAUACUUUGUGUUUUUGUCUCUGUUAGAAUAUGUAAUAGUAGAACCCUAAUCCAAUGUGUAUUAGGAGUAGCCUAAUCC
This 408-nucleotide long non-coding RNA is filed under the name Nicotiana benthamiana. RNAcentral's name for it is "long non-coding RNA (NBEN_LNC002555)". The record is from RNAcentral. Lineage: Eukaryota; Viridiplantae; Streptophyta; Magnoliopsida; Solanales; Solanaceae.